CUGAGCUGAGGUGUUGUGUCCUGAGCUGAGGUGUUGUGUGUUGUCCUGAGCUGAGGUGUUGUGUGUUGUCCUGAGCUGAGGUGUUGUGUGUUGUCCUGAGCUGAGGUGUUGUGUGUUGUCCUGAGCUGAGGUGUUGUGUGUUGUCCUGAGCUGAGGUGUUGUGUGUUGUCCUGAGCUGAGGUGUUGUGUGUUGUCCUGAGCUGAGGUGUUGUGUGUUGUCCUGAGCUGAGGUGUUGUGUGUUGUCCUGAGCUGAGGUGUUGUGUGUUGUCCUGAGCUGAGGUGUUGUGUGUUGUCCUGAGCUGAGGUGUUGUGUGUUGUCCUGAGCUGAGGUGUUGUGUUGUCCUGAGCUGAGGUGUUGUGUUGUCCUGAGCUGAGGUGUUGUGUUGUCCUGAGCUGAGGUGUUGUGUUGUCCUGAGCUGAGGUGUUGUGUUGCCCUGAGCUGAGGUGUU
This is a long non-coding RNA of Oncorhynchus keta (chum salmon), 450 nucleotides long. RefSeq lists it as uncharacterized. Lineage: Eukaryota; Metazoa; Chordata; Actinopteri; Salmoniformes; Salmonidae. The record is from RefSeq and is a predicted model, not a curated record. The transcript is spliced from 3 exons.